Molecule: small RNA, 17 nt
Filed under: Arabidopsis thaliana (thale cress)
Lineage: Eukaryota; Viridiplantae; Streptophyta; Magnoliopsida; Brassicales; Brassicaceae
Description: ATSL188860
Source: RNAcentral
AAAAUACAGCUCGAAAA